This 550-nucleotide ribosomal RNA is filed under the name uncultured Megasphaera sp. RNAcentral's name for it is "bacterial SSU rRNA". It matches the Rfam family "Bacterial small subunit ribosomal RNA", at positions 355 to 896 of the family's 1533-position model. The record is from RNAcentral. Lineage: Bacteria; Bacillati; Bacillota; Negativicutes; Veillonellales; Veillonellaceae.
UGGGGAAUCUUCCGCAAUGGGCGAAAGCCUGACGGAGCAACGCCGCGUGAGUGAAGACGGCCUUCGGGUCGUAAAGCUCUGUUAUAUGGGACGAACGUAUCUAUGGCCAAUACCCAUAGAUAGUGACGGUACCGUAAGAGAAAGCCACGGCUAACUACGUGCCAGCAGCCGCGGUAAUACGUAGGUGGCAAGCGUUGUCCGGAAUUAUUGGGCGUAAAGGGCGCGCAGGCGGCCGGUCAAGUCUGUCUUAAAAGUGCGGGGCUCAACCCCGUGAUGGGACGGAAACUGGCAGGCUGGAGUGUCGGAGAGGAAAGCAGAAUUCCUAGUGUAGCGGUGAAAUGCGUAGAUAUUAGGAGGAAUACCAGUGGCGAAAGCGGCUUUCUGGACGACAACUGACGCUGAGGCGCGAAAGCCAGGGGAGCAAACGGGAUUAGAUACCCCGGUAGUCCUGGCCGUAAACGAUGGGUACUAGGUGUAGGAGGUAUCGACCCCUUCUGUGCCGGAGUUAACGCAAUAAGUAUCCCGCCUGGGGAGUACGGCCGCAAGGCUG